This 536-nucleotide ribosomal RNA is filed under the name uncultured archaeon. RNAcentral's name for it is "bacterial SSU rRNA". It matches the Rfam family "Bacterial small subunit ribosomal RNA", at positions 509 to 1050 of the family's 1533-position model. The record is from RNAcentral.
CAGCAGCCGCGGUAAUACGUAGGGAGCAAGCGUUAUCCGGAUUCAUUGGGCGUAAAGCGCGCGUAGGCGGCUUAUUAAGUCAGGUGUCAAAUCUGAGGGCUCAACCCCCAACCGCACCUGAAACUGGUAGGCUCGAGUUCGGUAGAGGAAAGUGGAAUUCCCAGUGUAGCGGUGGAAUGCGCAGAUAUUGGGAAGAACACCGGUGGCGAAGGCGGCUUUCUGGGCCGUAACUGACGCUGAGGCGCGAAAGCUAGGGGAGCAAACAGGAUUAGAUACCCUGGUAGUCCUAGCCGUAAACGAUGGGCACUAGGUGUGGGGAGAUCACUCUUUCCGUGCCGCAGCUAACGCAUUAAGUGCCCCGCCUGGGGAGUACGACCGCAAGGUUAAAACUCAAAGGAAUUGACGGGGGCCCGCACAAGCAGCGGAGCAUGUGGCUUAAUUCGAAGCAACGCGAAGAACCUUACCUGGGCUUGACAUGCAAGUGAAGCGGCGGAAACGUCGUGGCCGAAAGGAGCUUGCACAGGAGGUGCAUGGCC